RNAcentral lists this ribosomal RNA (454 nucleotides) under uncultured Parabacteroides sp. RNAcentral's name for it is "partial 16S ribosomal RNA". It matches the Rfam family "Bacterial small subunit ribosomal RNA", at positions 341 to 792 of the family's 1533-position model. Lineage: Bacteria; Pseudomonadati; Bacteroidota; Bacteroidia; Bacteroidales; Tannerellaceae. The record is from RNAcentral.
ACGGAAGGCAGCAGUGAGGACUAUUGGUCAAUGGGCGGAAGCCUGAACCAGCCAUCUCGCGUGCAGGACUACGGCCCUACGGGUCUUAAACUGCUUUUAUGGGGGGAUAAAGUCGGGCAUGCGUGUCCGUUUGCAGGUACCCCAUGAAUAAGGAUCGGCUAACUCCGUGCCAGCAGCCGCGGUAAUACGGAGGAUCCGAGCGUUAUCCGGAUUUAUUGGGUUUAAAGGGUGCGCAGGCGGCCCGUUAAGUCAGCGGUGAAAUGUCGGGGCUCAACCCGGGCACUGCCGUUGAAACUGGGGGGCUUGAGUACGGAUGAGGUCGGCGGAAUGUGACGUGUAGCGGUGAAAUGCAUAGAUAUGUCACAGAACACCGAUUGCGAAGGCAGCCGGCCAAUCCGCAACUGACGCUCAUGCACGAAAGCGUGGGGAUCAAACAGGAUUAGAUACCCUGGUA